Molecule: ribosomal RNA, 254 nt
Filed under: uncultured bacterium
Lineage: Bacteria
Description: partial 16S ribosomal RNA
Rfam family: Bacterial small subunit ribosomal RNA
Source: RNAcentral
UACAGAGGGUGCAAGCGUUGUUCGGAAUCAUUGGGCGUAAAGCGCACGUAGGCGGCCGUUUAAGUCCGACUGUGAAAGACCGGGGCUCAACCCCGGGGCUGCAGCGGAUACUGAACGGCUUGAGACACGUAGAGGCUGGCGGAAUUCCGGGUGUAGCGGUGGAAUGCGUAGAGAUCCGGAAGAACACCGGUGGCGAAGGCGGCCAGCUGGGCGUGGUCUGACGCUGAGGUGCGAAGGCGUGGGGAGCAAACAGG